UACGGAGGGUGCGAGCGUUGUCCGGAAUCACUGGGCGUAAAGGGCGCGUAGGCGGCCUGAUAAGUAGGGGGUGAAAUCCUGCGGCUUAACCGCAGGGCUGCCUUCUAAACUGUCAGGCUGGAGCACAGUAGAGGCAGGUGGAAUUCCCGGUGUAGCGGUGGAAUGCGUAGAGAUCGGGAAGAACAUCAGUGGCGAAGGCGGCCUGCUGAGCUGUUGCUGACGCUGAGGCGCGACAGCGUGGGGAGCAAACAGG
Molecule: ribosomal RNA, 253 nt
Filed under: uncultured bacterium
Lineage: Bacteria
Description: partial 16S ribosomal RNA
Rfam family: Bacterial small subunit ribosomal RNA
Source: RNAcentral